Molecule: RNase MRP RNA, 126 nt
Filed under: Azadinium spinosum
Lineage: Eukaryota; Dinophyceae; Gonyaulacales; Amphidomataceae
Description: partial RNase MRP
Rfam family: RNase MRP
About the family: RNase MRP is an enzymatically active ribonucleoprotein with two distinct roles in eukaryotes. In mitochondria it plays a direct role in the initiation of mitochondrial DNA replication.
Source: RNAcentral
AAGCACGGCUUCGCAGCGCACACACGGGGAGCUCGCUCCCAUCCACGCUGCGGGGAAAGUCCCCGUGCCUUAGGUCAGAGAGUGUCAGCGGGAGACCGCAAGGCCUUGGCUUGCAUGCAGGCAGUG